UCUACCUGCUUAUUCUGGACAGGCGUCUACUUGCUAUAGUAUGGUGUUUGUUUGAUUCAUUAAGAGAUGUUCAGGCGCGUUUGAUACAGCACGAUUGAUGGGCGUUUGCUUUGCGCUAUUUGCAAAGCCUCAGUAAGUUGUUAGUUCAGAAACAUGUCGUCAGUUUUCAUCUAAUUCACUGAGUAUUUUCCCUGAAUAAUAACCCACUCAGAUACCCAGGUGAACACCGGAAACAUACGUGUAACUGAUUGGCCAGCACUCGUCAGCUGACAGCACGCAGAGAAUCAUAUGCGUGGAGACAGAACUAGCUCGGGGAAACCUGAGGGUGUUCAAUGGCACAAAUCGCGGAAGGAAUCUCAAAACGAAAGCGAAGCGAGACAAUACCUCUAUAUUUCUGCAUAGCGUCAGUCAUGCGAUGCAAAUACCGGAUGUAGUCAUGAACUGUUACGUCACUGCCGAUAUGUUUUAUUCUUCAGUCGUAUAUCAAUCGUAUAUCAUCUACCCUGUGGCCUCCUACAAUUUGUUGUGUUUAUUUGUUGUUGUUGUUUUAUUGUUGUAGUUUUGUGGGCUUGUUCUUGUUGUGUAUUUGUUGAGCUACUUAUGUAUUUAUGAGUGAGUGAGUGAGUGACUAAUGUAUCUAUGGUCGAGUGAGUGAGUGCCCCUCAGUGGGUGAGUGAGGGACGGAUGUGAUGUGAGGGUCAUAACAGCGUGUCAGUUUCACAUGAGUGGGUGAAUGAGUUGAGUUUUACGCCGCACACAACAAU
This is a long non-coding RNA of Haliotis rubra (blacklip abalone), 764 nucleotides long. RefSeq lists it as uncharacterized. The record is from RefSeq and is a predicted model, not a curated record. Lineage: Eukaryota; Metazoa; Mollusca; Gastropoda; Lepetellida; Haliotidae. The transcript is spliced from 3 exons.